GAUGAACGCUGGCGGCGUGCCUAAUACAUGCAAGUCGAGCGAACGGACUAGAAGCUUGCUUCUCUGAUGUUAGCGGCGGACGGGUGAGUAACACGUGGAUAACCUACCUAUAAGACUGGGAUAACUUCGGGAAACCGUAGCUAAUACCGGAUAAUAUUUUGAACCGCAUGGUUCAAAAGUGAAAGACGGUCUUGCUGUCACUUAUAGCUGGAUCCGCGCUGCAUUAGCUAGUUGGUAAGGUAACGGCUUACCAAGGCAACGAUGCAUAGCCGACCUGAGAGGGUGAUCGGCCACACUGGAACUGAGACACGGUCCAGACUCCUACGGGAGGCAGCAGUAGGGAAUCUUCCGCAAUGGGCGAAAGCCUGACGGAGCAACGCCGCGUGAGUGAUGAAGGUCUUCGGAUCGUAAAACUCUGUUAUUAGGGAAGAACAGAUGUGUAAGUAACUGUGCACAUCUUGACGGUACCUAAUCAGAAAGCCACGGCUAACUACGUG
This 497-nucleotide ribosomal RNA is filed under the name uncultured bacterium. RNAcentral's name for it is "partial 16S ribosomal RNA". It matches the Rfam family "Bacterial small subunit ribosomal RNA", at positions 28 to 507 of the family's 1533-position model. The record is from RNAcentral.